GGGGUUGUAGCUUAGUGGUAGAGUGCCUGCUUAACAUGUGUGGGGCACUGAGUUCGAUCCUCAGCACCACA
Molecule: transfer RNA, 71 nt
Filed under: Marmota monax (woodchuck)
Lineage: Eukaryota; Metazoa; Chordata; Mammalia; Rodentia; Sciuridae
Description: tRNA.Val
Rfam family: tRNA
About the family: Transfer RNA (tRNA) molecules are approximately 80 nucleotides in length.
Source: RNAcentral